RNAcentral lists this ribosomal RNA (253 nucleotides) under uncultured bacterium. Its description in RNAcentral is "partial 16S ribosomal RNA". It matches the Rfam family "Bacterial small subunit ribosomal RNA", at positions 524 to 776 of the family's 1533-position model. The record is from RNAcentral.
UACGUAGGGGGCAAGCGUUGUCCGGAAUCAUUGGGCGUAAAGAGCGUGUAGGCGGUUCGGUAAGUCCGCUGUGAAAGUCCAGGGCUCAACCCUGGAAAGCCGGUGGAAACUGUCGAGCUAGAGUCCGGAAGAGGCGAGUGGAAUUCCUGGUGUAGCGGUGAAAUGCGCAGAUAUCAGGAGGAACACCAAUGGCGAAGGCAGCUCGCUGGGACGGUACUGACGCUGAGGCGCGAAAGCUAGGGGAGCAAACAGG